RNAcentral lists this ribosomal RNA (468 nucleotides) under uncultured bacterium. Its description in RNAcentral is "partial 16S ribosomal RNA". It matches the Rfam family "Bacterial small subunit ribosomal RNA", at positions 28 to 507 of the family's 1533-position model. The record is from RNAcentral.
GACGAACGCUGGCGGCGUGCUUAAUACAUGCAAGUCGAACGGAAAGGCCCUGCUUUUGUGCGGUGCUCGAGUGGCGAACGGGUGAGUAACACGUGAGUAACCUGCCCUUGACUUUGGGAUAACUUCAGGAAACUGGGGCUAAUACCGGAUAGGAGUUCCUGUUGCAUGGUGGGGGUUGGAAAGUUUCGGCUGCUGGGGUUGGACUCGCGGCUUAUCAGCUUGUUGGUGGGGUAGUGGUUUACCAAGGCUUUGACGGGUAGCCGGCCUGAGAGGGUGACCGGCCACAUUGGGACUGAGAUGCGGCCCAGACGCCUACGGGAGGCAGCAGUGGGGAAUAUUGCACGAUGGGCGGAAGCCUGAUGCAGCGACGCCGCGUGCGAGAUGACGGCCUUCGGGUUGUAAACCGCUUUCGCCUGUAACGAAGCGUGAGUGACGGUAAUGGAUAAAAAAGCACCGGCUAACUACGUG